This 1350-nucleotide long non-coding RNA is filed under the name Ficedula albicollis (Collared flycatcher). RNAcentral's name for it is "lncRNA (ENSFALG00000026118.1)". The record is from RNAcentral. Lineage: Eukaryota; Metazoa; Chordata; Aves; Passeriformes; Muscicapidae.
AUGUUUUCCCUUACAUCAUCACUGAGGUGUUUUGGGGUUUUCUGUGUCUCCUCAGCUGUAUCAGUAAUAAUGUUUUCCCUUACAUCAUCACUGAGGUGUUUUGCGGUUUUCUGUGUCUCCUCAGCUGCAUCAGUAAUAAGCAGUAAUAAUAAUACUGAUAAAAGUAGUUUUUUGUUUCUCCUUGUGCUCAUUCCCCCUGACCCACCCUCUCCUCCCUGCCUGCUGCUGCUGCCUGUGCUGCCCUUCCCUCGCUGCCUGUUCCCUCUGGAUUUAGAGCUGGUUGUGCUGCUGUUCCCCCACUGCCUGUUCCCUCUGGAUUUAGGGCUGGUUGUGCUGCUGUUCCCUCACUGCCUGUUCCCUCUGGAUUUAGGGUUGGUUGUGCUGCUGUUCCCUCACUGCCUGUUCCCUCUGGAUUUAGGGUUGGUUGUGCUGCUGUUCCCUCACUGCCUGUUCCCUCUGGAUUUAGGGUUGGUUGUGCUGCUGUUCCCUCACUGCCUGUUCCCUCUGGAUUUAGGGUUGGUUGUGCUGCUGUUCCCUCACUGCCUGUUCCCUCUGGAUUUAGGGUUGGUUGUGCUGCUGUUCCCUCACUGCCUGUUCCCUCUGGAUUUAGGGUUGGUUGUGCUGCUGUUCCCUCACUGCCUGUUCCCUCUGGAUUUAGGGUUGGUUGUGCUGCUGUUCCCUCACUGCCUGUUCCCUCUGGAUUUAGGGUUGGUUGUGCUGCUGUUCCCUCACUGCCUGUUCCCUCUGGAUUUAGGGUUGGUUGUGCUGCUGUUCCCUCACUGCCUGUUCCCUCUGGAUUUAGGGUUGGUUGUGCUGCUGUUCCCUCACUGCCUGUUCCCUCUGGAUUUAGGGUUGGUUGUGCUGCUGUUCCCUCACUGCCUGUUCCCUCUGGAUUUAGGGUUGGUUGUGCUGCUGUUCCCUCACUGCCUGUUCCCUCUGGAUUUAGGGUUGGUUGUGCUGCUGUUCCCUCACUGCCUGUUCCCUCUGGAUUUAGGGUUGGUUGUGCUGCUGUUCCCUCACUGCCUGUUCCCUCUGGAUUUAGGGUUGGUUGUGCUGCUGUUCCCUCACUGCCUGUUCCCUCUGGAUUUAGGGUUGGUUGUGCUGCUGUUCCCUCACUGCCUGUUCCCUCUGGAUUUAGGGUUGGUUGUGCUGCUGUUCCCUCACUGCCUGUUCCCUCUGGAUUUAGGGUUGGUUGUGCUGCUGUUCCCUCACUGCCUGUUCCCUCUGGAUUUAGGGUUGGUUGUGCUGCUGUUCCCUCACUGCCUGUUCCCUCUGGAUUUAGGGUUGGUCGUGGCAGCUGCUGUCGCAGUCCUGGCAUCGAUUUUCUCCUUCAACUACUUCAGUGAUUGA